This 77-nucleotide transfer RNA is filed under the name Labedella populi. RNAcentral describes it as "Labedella sp. 8H24J-4-2 tRNA-Met". It matches the Rfam family "tRNA". From Rfam's summary of the family: Transfer RNA (tRNA) molecules are approximately 80 nucleotides in length. Their secondary structure includes four short double-helical elements and three loops (D, anti-codon, and T loops). Further hydrogen bonds mediate the characteristic L-shaped molecular structure. tRNAs have two regions of fundamental functional importance: the anti-codon, which is responsible for specific mRNA codon recognition, and the 3' end, to which the tRNAs corresponding amino acid is attached (by aminoacyl-tRNA synthetases). tRNAs cope with the degeneracy of the genetic code in two manners: having more than one tRNA (with a specific anti-codon) for a particular amino acid; and 'wobble' base-pairing, i.e. permitting non-standard base-pairing at the 3rd anti-codon position. The record is from RNAcentral. Lineage: Bacteria; Bacillati; Actinomycetota; Actinomycetes; Micrococcales; Microbacteriaceae.
GGGGCGUUAGCUCAGUCGGUCAGAGCAGCGGACUCAUAAUCCGUCGGUCGUGGGUUCAAGCCCCACACGCCCCACCG